RNAcentral lists this ribosomal RNA (497 nucleotides) under uncultured bacterium. Its description in RNAcentral is "partial 16S ribosomal RNA". It matches the Rfam family "Bacterial small subunit ribosomal RNA", at positions 28 to 507 of the family's 1533-position model. The record is from RNAcentral.
GAUGAACGCUGGCGGCGUGCCUAAUACAUGCAAGUCGAGCGAACAGACGAGGAGCUUUCUCCUCUGACGUUAGCGGCGGACGGGUGAGUAACACGUGGAUAACCUACCUAUAAGACUGGGAUAACUUCGGGAAACCGCAGCUAAUACCGGAUCAUAUAUUGAACCGCAUGGUUCAAUAGUGAAUGACGGUUUUGCUGUCACUUAUAGAUGGAUCCGCGCCGCAUUAGCUAGUUGGUAAGGUAACGGCUUACCAAGGCAACGAUGCGUAGCCGACCUGAGAGGGUGAUCGGCCACACUGGAACUGAGACACGGUCCAGACUCCUACGGGAGGCAGCAGUAGGGAAUAUUGCGCAAUGGGCGAAAGCCUGACGGAGCAACGCCGCGUGAGUGAUGAAGGUCUUCGGAUCGUAAAACUCUGUUAUUAGGGAAGAACAAAUGUGUAAGUAACUAUGCACGUCUUGACGGUACCUAAUCAGAAAGCCACGGCUAACUACGUG